CCUACGGGAGGCAGCAGUGAGGAAUAUUGGUCAAUGGACGAGAGUCUGAACCAGCCAAGUAGCGUGAAGGAUGACUGCCCUAUGGGUUGUAAACUUCUUUUAUAAAGGAAUAAAACGAGGCACGUGUGCCUUUUUGCAUGUACUUUAUGAAUAAGGAUCGGCUAACUCCGUGCCAGCAGCCGCGGUAAUACGGAGGAUCCGAGCGUUAUCCGGAUUUAUUGGGUUUAAAGGGAGCGUAGAUGGGUUGUUAAGUCAGUUGUGAAAGGUUGCGGCUCAACCGUAAAAUUGCAAUUGAUACUGGCAGUCUUGAGUACAGUUGAGGUAGGCGGAAUUCGUGGUGUAGCGGUGAAAUGCUUAGAUAUCACGAAGAACCCCGAUUGCGAAGGCAGCUUACUAAACUGUGACUGACAUUGAUGCUCGAAAGUGUGGGUAUCAAACAGGAUUAGAUACCACUGUAGUC
This 460-nucleotide ribosomal RNA is filed under the name uncultured bacterium. RNAcentral's name for it is "partial 16S ribosomal RNA". It matches the Rfam family "Bacterial small subunit ribosomal RNA", at positions 338 to 795 of the family's 1533-position model. The record is from RNAcentral.